GAUGAACGCUGGCGGCGUGCCUAAUACAUCCAAGUCGAGCGAACAGACGAGGAGCUUGCUCCUCUGACGUUAUCGGCGGACGGGUGAGUAACACGUGGAUAACCUACCUAUAAGACUGGGAUAACUUCGGGAAACCGGAGCUAAUACCGGAUAAUAUAUUGCACCGCAUGGUUCAAUAGUGAGAGACGGUUUUUCUUUCGCUAAUAGAUGGAUCCGCGCCGCAUUCGCUAGUUGGUAAGGUAACGGCUUACCAAAGCGACGAUGCGGAGCCGACCUGAGAGGGAGAACGGCCACACGGGAACUGAGAAACGGUACAGACUCCUACGGGAGGCAGCAGUAGGGAAUCUUCCGCGAUGGGCGAAAGCCUGACGGAGCAACGCCGCGUGAAGGAUGAAGGUCUUCGGAUCGUAAAACUCUGUUAUUAGGGAAGAACAAAUGUGUAAGUAACUAUGCACGUCUUGACGGUACCUAAUCAGAAAGCCACGGCUAACUACGUG
This 497-nucleotide ribosomal RNA is filed under the name uncultured bacterium. RNAcentral describes it as "partial 16S ribosomal RNA". It matches the Rfam family "Bacterial small subunit ribosomal RNA", at positions 28 to 507 of the family's 1533-position model. The record is from RNAcentral.